GCUUAAGUAGCUCAGUGGUAGAGCAUUUGCCUGACACACAAGUAGCCUUGGGUUCAAUUCCAAACCACUGCA
Molecule: transfer RNA, 72 nt
Filed under: Heterocephalus glaber (naked mole-rat)
Lineage: Eukaryota; Metazoa; Chordata; Mammalia; Rodentia; Bathyergidae
Rfam family: tRNA
About the family: Transfer RNA (tRNA) molecules are approximately 80 nucleotides in length. Their secondary structure includes four short double-helical elements and three loops (D, anti-codon, and T loops).
Source: Rfam by way of RNAcentral